UAUGCCCCUAUAAAUUCGGAGUCCUCCAUCCCGGAAUGGCCCCGGUGGGCUUUUGUGAUCGAAUCGGCAUCCUCUCCAAGUUGCACGUAUAAUUGGAAAGUGCUGUUCUCACAUCGGAGCCGUUCGUGACGUGCCCGUCGGCUAGAGCGGGCUUUACCGGUAUAUCCAAUGAACGGUUGAGAUGAGACAACAUGAGAAAUGGACGGUGGAUGGGAAAUCAAACAGGUUCAUGGUAUCGGAGAGGAUCCCAACUCAUUUGGUGUGGGGUGGAUGGUGGCGGCUCUUUGCCAACCCGAGAGGUCGGUUUGAUUCACAUUGUUCAUGUUCGAAUUGACAUAAUGCUUCAAUUAUUUAAAGCUUUGAGAUUUAGGUUUGGUACAUUAAUACCUAUAAAACUAAUUACAUAGAGAUGUUUAUAUAAAAUAAAAAUACUAAUAAUUUGUUUUGCAGAACUGAAUAAUUGGACGGUCGAUAUAAGUUUAAUCUUCAUGAUUUUUUAGUAUUUUAUUAUUUACGUUUAGCUUUCUACAAGAUGAUUGCUACUAUUUUUGACGAGUCAUCUCAUAUUUAAUGAUAAGAUAAUAAUAUUUGGUAUUCUAUGGUUGAUUUAAAGAAAAAUAAUCAUGAUCUCAUUAUCAGAAAAAAAAUUAAUUUAGCUCAUGAAUUUUCUUUUUAUGGCAAAGGAUUUUUUUCACAUAAAGUGGAUCAUUAUAAUAGUAUUUUAUUAUUUGAAAAAAAAAAUAUUAGACUCAAUCAAUAAAGGUCAUUAUUCAAUAUAUGUACACAUAAAAUAUUGAUUUAAUAAUUAUGAAAGAUUGAAGAUUCGAAAUAUGUGAUCAUAAGAUCUAAAAUAAUAAAAAAAAAUAUGGAUGAUAUAACUUAUUUAUUUUAUAUAAAGAAAAAUUAUUGUUUCUUUUCACAACAUUGACAUGUUUUGGAACCCCGGACACAUCACUACUGACGCCACAUGCCAAGUCAAAACCGUAUCGAGAAAUUAUUCCACUUGUCCCGUCCCGAGAGCUCGGGGCGGUGCCGUCUUACGCGGCUUCGCACGCCUCGAGACGGCGAUCGAUUAAAGGUGUCGUCCCAUCCCUCGAGAGUCGACGGUCACAUCAAAUCAACAUGCUAUCGACCCUCGUACAAUAGUAUAAAGCAUACGAUCGAUCUCCGACCAGAGGAGGCAUAAAAGAACUCUACCCACUACUGACUCGAUCUUUGGAGGGGUCAAAGUUGAGAACUACUCGACAAAGGCCAUUUUUGCAGGGAAGCAUCACCACCUACGGCUCGCGAACGUCCCACCUUGGAAAUCCCCGACCAAUGUCCCUAAGACAAAACAUCAAUUGGCCCGGAUCCCGAUCGACGCCAACCAGCACCCCUUCCCGAGGGCACGACCACCUCGUCAUCUAGCUCAUUCCGUAGAAGGCUCCUGACAUCGACCUGCGGACCUAGCUGUGCUGACUCAUCAGCCACGAUAUAUUUGUUCGUUAACAUUUUGGCAGCUCGUGAACGUCUCACCUUGGAAAUCCUCGACCGACGUCCCCAAGGCAAGUCGUCAACUGGCCCAGAUUUCGACCGAUGCCAACCAGCAUAUCUUCCUAAGGGUACGACCACCUCAGCAUCCAGCUCAUUUCGUUAAAGACUUCUAACAUCGACCCACGGAAAUAUGCUGUGAGUUCGUUAAAAAACAUAUUGUUCAUUUUAUUGGCAGCUGACUAAAAUAUACUGUGAGUUGUAUGAAUUCAUGUGCAGUUCUGUUCAUUGGACCGCAGGAGGUUGGACAGUGUGCUUGUCAUUAGUCUUCCCGGCCUCAUUCGUCUGACAGCUGUAUUCUAAAACAGCUGCAAUGUGGAUAAAAUGAGAUACUGUAUGACUAAGUGUGAGGACAACUGAUUCAGAUCCAUCGGCAAAGAAAAAGAUUCUAAGCCUUUAUUAUUUAAUUAUUUCAAUGAAUAAAAGAAUCAUAUUAA
Molecule: long non-coding RNA, 1967 nt
Filed under: Musa acuminata (dwarf banana)
Lineage: Eukaryota; Viridiplantae; Streptophyta; Magnoliopsida; Zingiberales; Musaceae
Description: long non-coding RNA (MACU_LNC005969)
Source: RNAcentral